Molecule: transfer RNA, 132 nt
Filed under: Hyphomicrobiaceae bacterium
Lineage: Bacteria; Pseudomonadati; Pseudomonadota; Alphaproteobacteria; Hyphomicrobiales; Hyphomicrobiaceae
Description: tRNA-OTHER
Source: RNAcentral
GGAGCUGUAAAUUUAUAUUGGUAUUUCAGAGCGUUAUGUGUGCCGCCGCGUAACAUGCCGUUCCACCGAAAAACCCCUCUGGACGAAAUCGCACUGCAGAGGUCAGGGGUUCGAUUCCCCUCGGCUCCACCA